This 787-nucleotide ribosomal RNA is filed under the name uncultured Pelagibacteraceae bacterium. Its description in RNAcentral is "bacterial SSU rRNA". It matches the Rfam family "Bacterial small subunit ribosomal RNA", at positions 53 to 888 of the family's 1533-position model. The record is from RNAcentral. Lineage: Bacteria; Pseudomonadati; Pseudomonadota; Alphaproteobacteria; Candidatus Pelagibacterales; Candidatus Pelagibacteraceae.
ACAUGCAAGUCGAACGAAGUAGCAAUACUUAGUGGCAGACGGGUGAGUAACAUGUAGGUAUCUGCCCUUUGGCCUGGAAUAACACGAGGAAACUUGUGCUAAUACCGGAUAAGUCUUUACGGAGAAAGCUUUAUGCACCAUUGGAUGAGCCUGCACUUGAUUAGUUUGUUGGUGGGGUAAUGGCCUACCAAGACUGUGAUCAAUAGCUGAUUUGAGAGGAUGAUCAGCCACAUUGGGACUGAGACACGGCCCAAACUCCUACGGGAGGCAGCAGUGGGGAAUCUUGCACAAUGGAGGAAACUCUGAUGCAGCGAUGCCGCGUGAGUGAAGAAGGCCUUUGGGUUGUAAAGCUCUUUCGUCGGGGAAGAAAAUGACUGUACCCGAAUAAGAAGGUCCGGCUAACUUCGUGCCAGCAGCCGCGGUAAUACGAAGGGACCUAGCGUAGUUCGGAAUUACUGGGCUUAAAGAGUUCGUAGGUGGUUGAAAAAGUUGGUGGUGAAAUCCCAGAGCUUAACUCUGGAACUGCCAUCAAAACUUUUCAGCUAGAGUAUGAUAGAGGAAAGCAGAAUUUCUAGUGUAGAGGUGAAAUUCGUAGAUAUUAGAAAGAAUACCAAUUGCGAAGGCAGCUUUCUGGAUCAUUACUGACACUGAGGAACGAAAGCAUGGGUAGCGAAGAGGAUUAGAUACCCUCGUAGUCCAUGCCGUAAACGAUGUGUGUUAGACGUUGGAAAUUUAUUUUCAGUGUCGCAGCGAAAGCGAUAAACACACCGCCUGGGGAGUACGACCG